CUAAGAUCAACAAAACAUUUGUAUGCUUGCUUUUUGUGCUUGUUCUUGUCGGUAUCAUAUCAACAACCGAAGGCAGAACUAAUUCAUUCGUUUUUCCAACAAAAUUUUGGCAUGCCUGUACGUCUGUUGUCGGUGUGAAAAGUGGAGAUACUUGUUUUGACAUCGCUCAAAAGUUCAAGUUGAGCACAAAAUUCUUCAACUCCAUCAACCCGAAUCUCGACUGUGACAAGUUAUUUGUGGGUGAAUGGAUUUGCGUCGAAGGAAUCUAGUUUGUGUCUUUCAAAUGAGUCCAUUAACAGAAUAAACUUUUCUUUUUUGCUUUGUGAUUUCAAGCUAAGAUCUGUGGCUUUUUAUGUAUUAUUGUUUUCUCUAAUUUUCAAGAAACAAAUUGCUUUGACAUUUUUCUAGAUUA
Molecule: long non-coding RNA, 412 nt
Organism: Helianthus annuus (common sunflower)
Lineage: Eukaryota; Viridiplantae; Streptophyta; Magnoliopsida; Asterales; Asteraceae
Exons: 2
Source: RefSeq, a predicted model, not a curated record